Molecule: ribosomal RNA, 447 nt
Filed under: uncultured bacterium
Lineage: Bacteria
Description: partial 16S ribosomal RNA
Rfam family: Bacterial small subunit ribosomal RNA
Source: RNAcentral
AGCGAACGCUGGCGGCAGGCCUAACACAUGCAAGUCGAGCGCCCCGCAAGGGGAGCGGCAGACGGGAGAGUAACACGUGGGAACGUACCCUUCAGCUCGGAACAACCCAGGGAAACUUGGGCUAAUACCGGAUACGUCCGAAAGGAGAAAGAGUCAUAGCGGAAGGAUCGGCCCGGUUCUGAUUAGCUAGUUGGUGGGGUAACGGCCCACCAAGGCGACGACCAGUAGCUGGUCUGAGAGGAUGAUCAGCCUCACUGGGACUGAGACACGGCCAAGACACCUACGGGAGGCAGCAGUGGGGAAUAUUUGACAAGGGUGUCAAGACUGUCCCUGCCAUACCCCGUGGAUGAUGAAGUGCCUAGGGUUGUAAGGUCCUUUCGGCGGGGAAGAUAAUGACGGUACCCGCAGAAGAAGCCCCGGCUAACAUCGUGCCAUCAGCCGCCGCCG